CCCGCCGGACCUGACUGCUAUCGGAUUGAUACUAAGCCAUGCGAGUCAUUGUAGCAAUGCAAGGCAGACGGCUCAGUAACGCGUAGUCAACCUAACCUAUGGACGGGAAUAACCUCGGGAAACUGAGAAUAAUGCCCGAUAGAACACUAUGCCUGGAAUGGUUUGUGUUCCAAAUGAUUUAUCGCCGUAGGAUGGGACUGCGGCUUAUCAGUUUGUUGGUGAGGUAAUGGCCCACCAAGACUAUUACAGGUACGAGCUCUGAGAGGAGUGGCCCGGAGAUGGGUACUGAGACACGGACCCAGGCCCUAUGGGGCGCAGCAGGCGAGAAAACUUUGCAAUGUGCGAAAGCACGACAAGGUUAAUCCGAGUGGUUUCUGCUAAAGGAACCUUUUGUCGGUCCUAGAAACACCGAUGAAUAAGGGGUGGGCAAGUUCUGGUGUCAGCCGCCGCGGUAAAACCAGCACCUCAAGUGGUCAGGAUGAUUAUUGGGCCUAAAGCAUCCGUAGCCUGCUUUGUUAGUUUUCGGUUAAAUCUGUACGCUCAACGUACAGGCUGCCGGGAAUACUGCAAAGCUAGGGAGUGGGAGAGGUAGACGGUACUCGGUAGGAAGGGGUAAAAUCCUUUGAUCUAUUGAUGACCACCUGUGGCGAAGGCGGUCUACCAGAACACGUCCGACGGUGAGGGAUGAAAGCUGGGGGAGCAAACCGGAUUAGAUACCCGGGUAGUCCCAGCUGUAAACCAUGCAAACUCAGUGAUGCAUUGGCUUGUGGCCAAUGCAGUGCUGCAGGGAAGCCGUUAAGUUUGCCGCCUGGGAAGUACGUACGCAAGUAUGAAACUUAAAGGAAUUGGCGGGGGAGCACCACAA
Molecule: ribosomal RNA, 865 nt
Filed under: uncultured archaeon
Lineage: Archaea
Description: bacterial SSU rRNA
Rfam family: Archaeal small subunit ribosomal RNA
Source: RNAcentral